GUGACGUGCUUCCGCUUUGAUUUAUACCGGCACUCUUAUUUCCUGUUUGCAUUUUUAGCAGUGAGUACCACAGGAUGUGGAGUUUAUAGAGAACGCAAAUGCAAUAUUAUAUUGGACGCUGACGACGGGUGGCAGCACUGAGCUGUGACUGAAGUGAGGAUGGACGGAAGUGAUGACGGAUCUGGCAGUGAGCCAGACUCGUUUGGUUGCAGGAGCGGGAAUAGGGCCGGUGAGGGAGGAGAAUGGCAGGUUGUGUGGUCUAAGAAGAGCAGAUGUUUAUCUGAGGAUAGAGAUUCUAGCAGCAGUGGAGUGCGUGGAGAGACUGUGAAGCGUCUUAAGGAGGAAUACCUCAUUUUGAUCCAGUUUGAAUCUGAAUCUGCUGGCGUGCUGAAUCCGGUCAGGUUGACUUCUGAAAUCAAAUCAGCUCUAGGGGAUGUGGCCGGAGCUAAGGUGUUGAGAGGAGUAGGUGGCGGUAAUGCACCUUCAGUUGGUCUGCCAUCCGCCAUAAACCUGAAAGAAGAAGAAGAAGAAGAAGAAUAUUAUAUUGGAAGGUAGCAUGUGCUUCUACAUGGGGAUCUGCCCUAUUUUACACAGAUUCUAAAAGCGGCGUAAGAUGCAUGCUUCACGAUGAAUCUCACCAGCUCAGAGUUCCAGCGCUCAGAUUUAAAUACAUGGCGGACGGAGCCGGCACUGCGGGGAGUUUCUGAACAAAUGUAAAGGCGGUGUUACCACAACCAGCUGACCAACCCUUUCAUGACCACAGGCCAGGCGACAGGAUGCUGAUCUGAGAUCUCCGCAGACGAAGGUGGAACCAGCCGAAGUGGAUGGGACCCCACCAGGUUCUCCUAGUAACCCACACAGCCAUAAAUGUGGAAGGACGAGGAACGUGGGAACACCACACUCACUGCAAGAAGGCACCGACUACACCUGAAGAAAAAGCAGCUUAGCAGAUGAUGGAGAGGAUCAACCCCAAAAGACUGGUGAUGGUGGCACUGGCUACAAGGGGCAGCUCUGACGGUCUUGAUAAAGGUUACUUCAGACAUCUAAUAAAGAACAUUUUUUUUCCCAUUUAACAGCCCACACAUUAGGUGUAAACAAUACAUAGACACAUAUGAUGACAGUUAAUGAGACCUGUCUUAAAAAUGCUAAUGGGGAUUCUAGUAUUUAAGGAUGAAGAACGAGGAGCUGAUUCAGAAUCAGAAUUGCCUUUAUUGUCACAUGGUCACAAGUACCAGUGAAAUUAGCCAUCAAGGGGGAAACAGGACAGGACAGGAAGACAGGGUAAGCCGCAGCGUGUGCACUCGCAGCCAUCAUUUCUUCAGUUAGAGGGAUACAAGGGGAAAGAAGAGGGUAAAAAAAAAACCUAGACUGUGCCCUAAAGAGCACAGUGUAGGAACAUCAAAAAACCUCAGCACAUAGGCACAUACAAUAUACACAAAAGACCAAGCAAUGAAGGUGUGGG
This is a long non-coding RNA of Astyanax mexicanus (Mexican tetra), 1462 nucleotides long. RefSeq lists it as uncharacterized. The transcript is spliced from 3 exons. The record is from RefSeq and is a predicted model, not a curated record. Lineage: Eukaryota; Metazoa; Chordata; Actinopteri; Characiformes; Acestrorhamphidae.